This is a long non-coding RNA of Alnus glutinosa, 243 nucleotides long. RefSeq lists it as uncharacterized. The transcript has 3 exons. The record is from RefSeq and is a predicted model, not a curated record. Lineage: Eukaryota; Viridiplantae; Streptophyta; Magnoliopsida; Fagales; Betulaceae.
AAGAGCACUACUCACGUAUUCCUUUGAUAAAUGAUACUACUCCUCUAAUUUUGGGAAUGGAUGUCACAUGGGUCUCCUGGUUGAUCAGAUAUCCCAUCUAUUGCUACGGUUGUUGGCUCUCGAUGUUGGCCACUAAUUUCAAGUGAUGAGGACGUUGUUUGUUUUGCUAAAAAGUUACACCCAAUGGGUGCGUUUGGCUUUGAAUGUACCUUGGACAAAGUAAUUGAAAAACUUAAGAGUUAC